RNAcentral lists this ribosomal RNA (253 nucleotides) under uncultured bacterium. Its description in RNAcentral is "partial 16S ribosomal RNA". It matches the Rfam family "Bacterial small subunit ribosomal RNA", at positions 524 to 776 of the family's 1533-position model. The record is from RNAcentral.
GACGAACCGAGCGAACGUUGUUCGGAAUCACUGGGCUUAAAGGGCGCGUAGGCGGGUGCUCAAGUCCGUGGUGAAAUCCUCCGGCUCGACCGGAGAACUGCCUCGGAUACUGGGCGUCUCGAGUGUGGUAGGGGUAUGCGGAACUAUCGGUGGAGCGGUGAAAUGCGCAGAUAUCAGGAGGAACACCGGUGGCGAAGGCGGAUCUCUGGGCCGAUACUGACGCUGAGGAGCGAAAGCGUGGGGAGCGAACAGG